Molecule: ribosomal RNA, 479 nt
Filed under: uncultured bacterium
Lineage: Bacteria
Description: bacterial SSU rRNA
Rfam family: Bacterial small subunit ribosomal RNA
Source: RNAcentral
GUAAACCCCUUUUCUUGGGGACGAAGCAGUGACGGUACCCGAGGAAGAAGGCCCGGCUAACUACGUGCCAGCAGCCGCGGUAAUACGUAGGGGCCGAGCGUUGUCCGGAGUUACUGGGCGUAAAGCGCGCGCAGGCGGCUCGUCAAGCCUGACGUGAAAGCCCCCGGCUCAACCGGGGAGGGUCGUCGGGGACUGGCGAGCUUGAGGUCGGCAGGGGCUGGUGGAAUUCCCGGUGUAGUGGUGAAAUGCGUAGAGAUCGGGAGGAACACCCGUGGCGAAGGCGGCCAGCUGGGCCGGACCUGACGCUGAGGCGCGAAGGCGUGGGGAGCGAACGGGAUUAGAUACCCCGGUAGUCCACGCAGUAAACGAUGCAGACUAGGCGUGGGGGGACUUGACCCCCUCCGUGCCGGAGCCAACGCGUGAAGUCUGCCGCCUGGGGAGUACGGCCGCAAGGCUAAAACUCAAAUGAAUUGACGGAA